AACGCACAUUGCGCCCGCCAGUAUUCUGGCGGGCAUGCCUGUUCGAGCGUCAUUUCAACCAUCAAGCCCCCGGCUUGUGUUGGGGACCUGCGGCUGCCCGCAGGCCCUGAAAACCAGUGGCGGGCUCGCUGUCACCCCGAGCGUAGUAGAAGAGAUUGUCAACCUCGCUAUGGGACGUUCCUGGCACCGCCUCGGCCGUAAAAAGUUUUAAGGGGAAGGGAGGGGUUAACCCCCCGCCCGUCCCCCCCCCCGAAGAGUUGACCUCGGAUCAGGUAGGGAUACCCGCUGAACUUAA
This 295-nucleotide unclassified non-coding RNA is filed under the name uncultured fungus. RNAcentral's name for it is "partial contains 5.8S ribosomal RNA, internal transcribed spacer 2, and large subunit ribosomal RNA". The stretch from base 1 to 52 matches the Rfam family "5.8S ribosomal RNA", at positions 103 to 154 of the family's 154-position model. Lineage: Eukaryota; Fungi. The record is from RNAcentral.